This 1431-nucleotide ribosomal RNA is filed under the name uncultured archaeon. RNAcentral's name for it is "bacterial SSU rRNA". It matches the Rfam family "Archaeal small subunit ribosomal RNA". The record is from RNAcentral.
ACCCUACUGCUAUCGGGAUGGGACUAAGACAUGCGAGUCGAACGCCUCUAAGCCACGGUAGAGGCGCGGCGCACGGCUCAGUAACACGUGGCUAACCUACCCUCUGGACGGAACUAACCCCGGGAAACUGGGGAUAAUGUCCGAUAGAUGAAGAGGCCUGGAAUGGUUUUUCACCCAAAAGACGUUGGGACCAUGCUUUUCAACGUCGCCAAAGGAUGGGGCCGCGACCGAUCAGGCUGUUGGCGAGGUAACGGCUCACCAAACCUAUAACCGGUACGGGCCGCGGGAGCGGGAGCCCGGAGAUGGGCACUUAGACAAGGGCCCAGGCCCUACGGGGCGCAGCAGUCGCGCAAACUCUGCAAUACGCGAAAGCGUGACAGGGCUAUCCCGAGUGCCGUCCGCUGAGGAUGGCUUUUCUCUGGUGUAAUGAGCCGGAGGAAUAAGGAGAGGGCAAGUCUGGUGUCAGCCGCCGCGGUAAUACCAGCUCUCCGAGUGGUAGGGACGAUUAUUGGGCCUGAAGCGUCCGUAGCCAGCUAAGCAAGUUUCCCGUUAAAUCCAGCGAUCUAAUCGUUGGCCUGCGGGAAAUACUGCUUGGCUAGGGGGCGAGAGAGGCCAACGGUAUUUCCGGGGUAGGGGUGAAAUCUUAUAAUCCCGGGAGGACCACCAGUGGCGAAGGCUGUUGGCUAGAACGCGCUCGACGGUGAGGGACGAAAGCUGGGGGAGCGAACCGGAUUAGAUACCCGGGUAGUCCCAGCUGUAAACGAUGUAGACUAGGUGUUAGGGCGGCUACGAGCCGCUCUAGUGCCGCAGGGAAGCCAUUAAGUCUACCGCCUGGGGAGUACGGCCGCAAGGCUGAAACUUAAAGGAAUUGGCGGGGGAGCACCACCAGGGGUGAAGCUUGCGGUUUAAUUGGAGUCAACACCGGAAACCUUACCGGGAGCGACAGCAGAGUGAAGGCCAGAUUGAGGGUCUUGCCAGACAAGCUGAGAGGAGGUGCAUGGCCGUCGCCAGUUCGUGCCGUGAGGUGUCCUGUUAAGUCAGGCAACGAUCGAGACCCACUUCCCCUGUUGCCACUGAGGAAAAAUUCUGAUGGGCACUCUGGGGGGACUGCCGCUGAUAAAGCGGAGGAAGGAGUGGGCCACGGCAGGUCAGUAUGCCCCGAAUCUCCCGGGCCACACGCGAGCUGCAAUGGUAGGGACAAUGGGUUCCGACCCCGAAAGGGGAAGGUAAUCCUCAAACCCUGCCUCAGUUGGGAUCGAGGGCUGUAACCCGCCCUCGUGAACAUGGAAUCCCUAGUAAUCGCGCGUCAUCAGCGCGCGGUGAAUACGUCCCUGCUCCUUGCACACACCGCCCGUCGUUCCACUCGAGUGAGGAUGGGGUGAGGCGUGGUCCUUUGUGGCUGCGUCGAUCCCUAUUUUCGCAAGAAGGGAA